GAGUAAUGUCUGGGAAACUGCCUGAUGGAGGGGGAUAACUACUGGAAACGGUGGCUAAUACCGCAUAACGUCGCAAGACCAAAGAGGGGGACCUUCGGGCCUCUUGCCAUCAGAUGUGCCCAGAUGGGAUUAGCUUGUUGGUGAGGUAACGGCUCACCAAGGCGACGAUCCCUAGCUGGUCUGAGAGGAUGACCAGCCACACUGGAACUGAGACACGGUCCAGACUCCUACGGGAGGCAGCAGUGGGGAAUAUUGCACAAUGGGCGCAAGCCUGAUGCAGCCAUGCCGCGUGUAUGAAGAAGGCCUUCGGGUUGUAAAGUACUUUCAGCGGGGAGGAAGGUGUUGUGGUUAA
RNAcentral lists this ribosomal RNA (352 nucleotides) under Salmonella enterica subsp. enterica serovar Heidelberg. Its description in RNAcentral is "bacterial SSU rRNA". It matches the Rfam family "Bacterial small subunit ribosomal RNA", at positions 108 to 463 of the family's 1533-position model. Lineage: Bacteria; Pseudomonadati; Pseudomonadota; Gammaproteobacteria; Enterobacterales; Enterobacteriaceae. RNAcentral also lists the same sequence under 1 other name. The record is from RNAcentral.